RNAcentral lists this ribosomal RNA (301 nucleotides) under uncultured bacterium. Its description in RNAcentral is "partial 16S ribosomal RNA". It matches the Rfam family "Bacterial small subunit ribosomal RNA", at positions 509 to 809 of the family's 1533-position model. The record is from RNAcentral.
CAGUCGCCGCGGGAAAACGUAGGUGGCAAGCGUUGUCCGGAAUUAUUGGGCGUAAAGGGCUCGCAGGCGGUUUCUUAAGUCUGAUGUGAAAGCCCCCGGCUCAACCGGGGAGGGUCAUUGGAAACUGGGAAACUUGAGUGCAGAAGAGGAGAGUGGAAUUCCACGUGUAGCGGUGAUAUGCGUAGAGAUGUGGAGGAACACCAGUGGCGAAGGCGACUCUCUGGUCUGUAACUGGCGCUGAGGAGCGAAAGCGUGGGGAGCGAACAGGAUUAGAUACCCCAGUAGUCCCUGUCUCUUAUAA